Molecule: ribosomal RNA, 384 nt
Filed under: Bradyrhizobium sp. 11LoS21_1
Lineage: Bacteria; Pseudomonadati; Pseudomonadota; Alphaproteobacteria; Hyphomicrobiales; Nitrobacteraceae
Also listed under: 1 other name
Description: bacterial LSU rRNA
Rfam family: Bacterial large subunit ribosomal RNA
Source: RNAcentral
AAUCAAGUGCCUUAAGGGUGUUCGGUGGAUGCCUUGGCGCUGAGAGGCGAUGAAGGACGUGCUACGCUGCGAUAAGCCGUGGGGAGCUGCGAAGAAGCUUUGAUCCAUGGAUUUCCGAAUGGGGAAACCCACCUUCGAUAGCCGGAACUCCAAGACCUCAGUCGAAAGACUGUGGUGUGGGGUUCGAUCAGACAUGAGAGAUGCCUAGGCCUUUAGAUUUCGAUCGAAGAGGUUUUGGAUUUCCGGUUAUCAAGAGAAGGUAUGAGACUUCUGAAUACAUAGGAGGUUUCAAGCAAACCCAGGGAACUGAAACAUCUAAGUACCUGGAGGAAAGGACAUCAACAGAGACUCCGUUAGUAGUGGCGAGCGAACGCGGACCAGGCC